Molecule: ribosomal RNA, 591 nt
Filed under: uncultured bacterium
Lineage: Bacteria
Description: bacterial SSU rRNA
Rfam family: Bacterial small subunit ribosomal RNA
Source: RNAcentral
GAGGGGCCCGCGUCCGAUUAGCUAGUUGGUGGGGUAACGGCUCACCAAGGCAACGAUCGGUAGCCGGCCUGAGAGGGCGGACGGCCACACUGGGACUGAGACACGGCCCAGACUCCUACGGGAGGCAGCAGUGGGGAAUUGUUCGCAAUGGGCGCAAGCCUGACGACGCAAUGCCGCGUGGAGGAUGAAGAUCUUCGGGUCGUAAACUCCUGUCGAGCGGGACGAAUGGCCCGGGACCUAAUACGUUCCGGGAGUGACGGUACCGCUAAAGGAAGCCCCGGCUAACUCCGUGCCAGCAGCCGCGGUAAUACGGGGGGGGCAAGCGUUGUUCGGAAUUACUGGGCGUAAAGGGCGCGUAGGCGGCCCUCUAAGUCGGACGUGAAAUCCCUCGGCUCAACCGGGGAACUGCGUCCGAUACUGGAGGGCUUGGAUCCGGGAGAGGGAUGCGGAAUUCCAGGUGUAGCGGUGAAAUGCGUAGAUAUCUGGAGGAACACCGGUGGCGAAGGCGGCAUCCUGGACCGGCAUCGACGCUGAGGCGCGAAAGCCAGGGGAGCAAACGGGAUUAGAUACCCCGGUAGUCCUGGCCCUAAA